UGUUCCUGAUGUAAAUUUGGGUUUCUUUCGUUUUGAUUGGGAUAAUUGUUCGCGAAUUGCUUAAUUCUUUUGUUGAUCAACAUCUUUGUUAGGGUUUGAGACCGAUGUUUGCGAUUCGGAGACUUGAUUUUUGUGGAUUUAUAUAUAUGUUUUCUUUUCUAAGUUUUUGGUCAUGAUGCUUCUUAUCCGUCCAUUGCUGGUGCCUUUAAUCGUUAUGAUCAUAAAUCUGCACGGAGUUAGUGAUGGUCGUUUUUGCUCGUAUUGCGUUAUUAUUGAAAAAUUUGUUCCCUCUAAAUAUGGACGGAGAAUGAUGGAAAAGGUUAUGGUAAUAGAAAGUUAGAAAACCCCAUCUUGAAGAUAUGCUAUUUGAUUCUUUCAUUGAUUUUAAUUCCGCUUUCCAAGGGAACGUGCGAUCGUUGUAAAAAAGAGAUUGUAGAUCUAUUUUUUUGGUACAUUGUUGAUGUCUUGUUAACCUCCCAUGCUAUAUAGUGGUAACAUCAUGCUCGAGCCAGACAAAAGAUUUACUGAUGUUUUUCCCACAUGUAUAUGCAUGCAGAUGCGGAUUUGCAUUUAUAGUUUCCUUGCAUAUUAAAUUACAAGGUGAUAUGAAUAAUUAGUGUUGAAAGAUGGUUUCUGCUCCUUUGGCAACUUAGGACCUGUAGGCAUUUGUCUGGUUUUAGAAGUCAUCCUUACAUGUAAGGAAGUUGUUCCCUAUGCCAGUGAGGGUUAAGGAAAUGUGAAGCUGUGAAGUUUAUUCUUUCUCGUCAAUUUCUUAAUACAAUAAGCGAUUUACCGUUUUAUCGGAUAAAUUAAAUGGUGAAAUUGUGAUUAAUUUGUAAUUGGAUGGUCUGUGGAUGUUGUCAAGGAAUUCUGUCCUGUAAUUGUUGGCAAACCAAAAAACCGAGAUGAGUUAUUUCAUCGGCGGGGUGUCAGCUUAGUGGAUAGAGGUUGCUAUCAAAGCUCGGGACAUUUUACAGUCUAGUUUCAUUCUGGCAUCAUCAUUUUAAAUUCUUAACAGGCAACUUUGAGCCAUUUAGAACCUUCCAUUAUUGGUCAUGUAGUGUAAGCAAAUGUAAUGUGGAGCAGCCAUCAAGAUCCCCCUGGACAUAUGAAGAGUCUACAUGGAAGAAAGAAAGUAUGUAUUGUGAACUCUAUUCUUCUCCGAGUAUGCUUAUGGGGGAUUCAAUGAUUAUGAAAAUGGUCUUACUAAACUGGGUGGCAAGAAAAGGAUGUACUACUAGCAAUUUCUUUCCAUAAUGAGGUGUCAUGGAACCACCUCUUUGAUUGCUUUUCAUUCAGCUAUAUCAUAUGCUUAAUCAUUCUUCGAGUUAUUUAUUUUUUCAUUUAUGUAUCGUAUAAUUUAGUUGCAUUUUGUUCCUAGAAGUGGUUUGAUGAUAAUGAUCUCUUCAAGAUUGAAGAUUCAGUUUUACUUUCAGUUUCAAAGAGUCAAGUGGGUUUCAAUUUGGGUAAUUUCAGCAUUCUGGGUAGUCUGAGCUCUAGUUUUAAUAGUUUCAUACAAGAAAAAAUCCAAAAAUUUAAAGAUAAGUAAAACAAGAAAUUGCGAAACAAACAACUAAACAUAUUAAAUCAAAUUUCAUUUAAAAUAUAUUGCAUUGUCUGGGAUCUUGUAGGCCUAUUGUUUUGGUGGUUUCUUGUUGAAACAAUAUAUGUAUAGGAUGAACAUGUGCAUGUACAUAUGUUUCUAUUUUUUUUCCUAGCAUAAAAGAAUUAUAUUUUACAUCAUCCUCCAUGACAAUUUAGCAUACAUAAAUCUAAAUACUUUAUAAAUCUAAGCUCUAGGGUUGCCAAGCCAAUGUCAAAAAGUACUUCCUCUAAAUUACUCUGAAGCCCAAAGUUGCCAAAAAAUAAUCUAAUGUGCAUUCGGGUCCCACAGUGGUGGCUUUAUCUUUGGUCAUUGGAAUGUCUUUGAAUAGCUGUCUUGGUUGAGAGAAGUGGUACUCCUAGGGCAAGCUAUCCACCUUGGAAAGGUGAAAGUUGGUGAAUGGUGCAUAUCAUGUAGAAGACAACCAUAAUGCCCGUUGUUUGAUUUUAUACGUCAGCCCUUCUGAUUCAGAAUACAACAAAUCUGUAGCCCAACCUAGACCAAGUUCAAUCUUCAUUGAUGCAUCUGUUUUGCUUCUAGCUUUAUACAUGGGGUCUGAUUUUCCUCUAGGUUUCUGUAUAGGAUGAAAUAGGUUAGUCUGGUUUGUGGCUCUUUUAAGUAAGUUAAAUUGUCAUCAGUUUGAUAGAGUACUAGUUCUGGAUGACCAAUCUAUAGAAAACUGGUGAUGUGGACAAUAAAAUAAAGCACACUGAAUCUCUUGGAUUGGCUGGCCAUUCAGAGAUGAGGCAUCUAAGAAGGUUUUUAAGUAAGGAGUAAUUCAUUUAUUUGUUUAUUUUUUAAACAAGAACCAGGACGGGAGUAAUCCUAGCCAAAAUUGGGGUGAGGGUGGGGUUUGCAUGCGGGUCCUUGGUACCAACUGCCAAAGACUUCAUCAAGUGCACUAGUUGUCACCCUCCUGCCAACAUAGUUAGACCUAAAAUAUUUCAAUUUUGGCCCAGAACAUGACUACAUAAUGGGAACUGAUUUCUUCACGGGAAAAUUUACCUUUAGAUUUCAGUAUAGAUGAUUUUUGCUAUGUUAUACAGGUAUAUUCUUUAUAAAUUAAAGAUGGUUUAGUUUUCAGGAAUGUCAGUGUUGAAUAGGUUUGUGAGAUCUGGGCACACAUUGUACUGGUUCAAUCUAUAAACUUAAAUGAAUUAGAUUGCUUAUAUAAAUGUAACUAUAUCGACAUUAUAUAUACAUGUGUGACUAUGUACUGUGGAUGAAUGCAUAUGAACAAAUUUAAUGAUAAUUUGUAUAUAUAAAUAAAGUAUAGGUUAAAACAAAAAACAUCCACGCACCUAUAUACAUAUUUUUGUGUAUAUAUAACUAGAAUUCAUACAUAUAUGUAACUAAAUAUGUAUACGAAAACAUAUCCCAUAUAAAGUAUUCUCUUGCAAUCUUUUUUUUGUAUGACACAUGUAUAGUGAUAAGGGAGCAAGAAACUUGAACUAGGCUUCAAUAAAAAUUAUAAUGUUAAAAUAAUAAAUUAAAGUAAUCACAAAAAGACCUUUCAUUCAACAAUUGCAACUUCUAACUCCAAUCUCGAGCAAGACAGAUGGCUCAGGAAGCUCACGAAACUCCACCAGCUGAGCUAAAACAACAAAAAUAUAUGUUAUUAUUUCUUUUAUAUUUAUAAUAAAUCGAGUAAAAGUCAAAUUCUAGUAUUUUUUGAGAGAGACUUAAUUGUUUAUGUUUACAACAGUAUAAUUUAAGGUAUAUUUAAAAAUCCAAUUGUGAAAAUGAAGUACUUGAUCAUAGAAUGAUUGAGUGAAUUUGUGCUGAGUCCGUGCCUAGGCGAUCACCUAGGUGCCUAGGUGACCGCCUAGGCUAUAGGCUAGUCUAUCGCCUAUAGUCGCCUCGGCUAUUUGACAACUAUGAUUUGUAAGAGUUGAGUGUUUGUAUCCUUAUCAUUGAAAAGCAAUGUUUGAAUAUGGUGAAUUACCUCUUGAUUUCAAUUUUCUUAUCAGGGCUUGCAUUUAGUUAAUCCAACUCGUAUUGUUGAGCCAAUUAAAAUAUUAGAAUGGUGGAGGCAUGGAUUUUUUUGUUAUUUUAUAAACAAUUAUUUGUGAACAAGACACUUUUGACAGUAAUUAAUUAUUUUGUAUUGUCAUAUAACAUCACUUUUCUGUAACCAUUAUGUUCAACUGGGAACUAUCUUUUCGAAUGAUAUUGAUAUGAUCUGUGUAAAUAUUUUACCAAAACAUGGGAAGAUUCUAGCCUCUUGAAGUGUGUAGUAAAUAUUUUUUUUUU
Non-coding RNA from Phoenix dactylifera (date palm), 3856 nucleotides. The record is from RefSeq and is a predicted model, not a curated record. Lineage: Eukaryota; Viridiplantae; Streptophyta; Magnoliopsida; Arecales; Arecaceae.